CAUGGAGUGCAGGUGGGUUGGAGCACAGAUGAAGCCCCGGUCCAACCUGGGCAUUCCUGCAGCCAUGUGCAGUGACCCUUGUGUAUGUGAGUACCUGUCAUGUGCCCACGUAUCCUGGUGGCACAAAAGGUACUUCAUGUAGAUUGUCAGGACCAAGACACAGAACGUUCUUGGGGCACACCACAAUAAUUCCCCCACUAGCAUUCACCUUAAGAUGAAAGAGUUUUUUUCUAGUUGAUGUGGAUUCCCCAGAUUUAUCUCAUUUCAUGAUGUCUUCGGAAUUGCAUGUUGUGCCACCAUCACACUUCACACUCUCAGUAAGGAGCUCUCAGUUGUCUCACCUGUUAUUGCUCCUCUUUAUUGUAAACGAUGUCCUAUAAAGAAGAUAUAUGUCUACAAUUGAGCUUUGAAGGAGGACCAUGGAGCCAGUUCCUUUUAAGGGGAAUGAAGUCAAGCAGUAAAUUUGCUGGUCACUCUUUUCAUAUGGACCGCAUCUCAGCCAGCAGUUGGUCUUUGAUGUUGUAACAAUGGCACUGGGACCUGAGGCAGAGGAGCACCCCCAUAAUACUGAAACCAGCCUGCAUUCAUUCUAAUUUGGAGAACAAUCUGUGGGAUAGUACGCACAUCAGGGAGCCCAGAGAGUGAACUCCAG
This 652-nucleotide long non-coding RNA is filed under the name Homo sapiens (human). RNAcentral describes it as "HSALNT0264628". The record is from RNAcentral. Lineage: Eukaryota; Metazoa; Chordata; Mammalia; Primates; Hominidae.